RNAcentral lists this ribosomal RNA (253 nucleotides) under uncultured bacterium. RNAcentral describes it as "partial 16S ribosomal RNA". It matches the Rfam family "Bacterial small subunit ribosomal RNA", at positions 524 to 776 of the family's 1533-position model. The record is from RNAcentral.
UACGUAGGGUGCAAGCGUUAAUCGGAAUUACUGGGCGUAAAGCGUGCGCAGGCGGUUGUGCAAGACAGGUGUGAAAUCCCCGGGCUUAACCUGGGAACUGCAUUUGUGACUGUACGGCUAGAGUGCGGCAGAGGGGGAUGGAAUUCCGCGUGUAGCAGUGAAAUGCGUAGAUAUGCGGAGGAACACCGAUGGCGAAGGCAAUCCCCUGGGCCUGCACUGACGCUCAUGCACGAAAGCGUGGGGAGCAAACAGG